UGGCAUCCUUAGUACGGCGAGUGACCGGGAUGAGCUCAAAUUUGAAAUCUGGCGUCUUUCAGGCGUCCGAGUUGUAAUCUAUAGAGGCGUUUUCCGCGCCGGACCGCGUCCAAGUCUCUUGGAAUAGAGUAUCAAAGAGGGUGACAAUCCCGUACUUGACGCGACAACCGGUGCUCUGUGAUACGUUCUCAAUGAGUCGAGUUGUUUGGGAAUGCAGCUCUAAAUGGGUGGUAAAUUCCAUCUAAGGCUAAAUAUUGGCGAGAGACCGAUAGCGAACAAGUACCGUGAGGGAAAGAUGAAAAGCACUUUGGAAAGAGAGUUAAACAGCACGUGAAAUUGUUAAAAGGGAAACGAUUGAAGUCAGUCGUGUGGGAAGUAUUCAGCCGUCUCUGGCGGUGUAUUUGCUUCUCACGGGUCAACAUCAGUUUGAUCCGGUAGAAAAAGGCGGGAAGAAGGUGGCACCCUCGGGUGUGUUAUAGCUUCCUGUCAUAUGUGCCGGACCAGACUGAGGAACGCAGCUUGCAGCAAUGCCGGGGUUCGCCCACGUACAAGCUUAGGAUGUUGACAUAAUGGCUUUAAACGACCCGUCUUGACCC
This 596-nucleotide ribosomal RNA is filed under the name Vishniacozyma carnescens. RNAcentral's name for it is "eukaryotic LSU rRNA". It matches the Rfam family "Eukaryotic large subunit ribosomal RNA", at positions 72 to 660 of the family's 3401-position model. The record is from RNAcentral. Lineage: Eukaryota; Fungi; Basidiomycota; Tremellomycetes; Tremellales; Bulleribasidiaceae.